UACGGAAGGCAGCAGUGGGGAAUAUUGCACAAUGGGCGAAAGCCUGAUGCAGCUAUGCCGCGUGUAUGAAGAAGGCCUUAGGGUUGUAAAGUACUUUCAUCGGGGAGGAAAAAACAAAACUAAUAAUUUUAUUUCUUGACGUUACCCGAAAAAGAAGCACCGGCUAACUCCGUGCCAGCAGCCGCGGUAAUACGGAGGGUGCUAGCGUUAAUCAGAAUUACUGGGCGUAAAGAGCACGUAGGUGGUUUUUUAAGUCAGAUGUGAAAUCCCUGGGCUUAACCUAGGAACUGCAUUUUGAAACUGAAAUACUAGAGUAUCGUAGAGGGAGGUAGAAUUCUAGGUGUAGCGGUGAAAUGCGUAGAUAUCUGGAGGAAUACCUGUGGCGAAAGCGGCCUCCUAAACGAAUACUGACACUGAGGUGCGAAAGCGUGGGGAGGCAAACAGGGAUUAGAUACC
Molecule: ribosomal RNA, 456 nt
Filed under: uncultured bacterium
Lineage: Bacteria
Description: bacterial SSU rRNA
Rfam family: Bacterial small subunit ribosomal RNA
Source: RNAcentral